RNAcentral lists this ribosomal RNA (649 nucleotides) under uncultured bacterium. RNAcentral describes it as "bacterial SSU rRNA". It matches the Rfam family "Bacterial small subunit ribosomal RNA", at positions 43 to 683 of the family's 1533-position model. The record is from RNAcentral.
CAGGCCUAACACAUGCAAGUCGAACGGUAACAUGACUAGCUUGCUAGUUGAUGACGAGUGGCGGACGGGUGAGUAACGCGUAGGAAUCUACCCAGUAGCGGGGGAUAAGCCAGAGAAAUUUGGUCUAAUACCGCAUACGCCCUUCGGGGGAAAGCAGGGGAUCUUCGGACCUUGCACUAUUGGAUGAGCCUGCGUGAGAUUAGCUUGUUGGUGAGGUAAUGGCUCACCAAGGCGACGAUCUCUAGCUGGUCUGAGAGGAUGAUCAGCCACACUGGAACUGAGACACGGUCCAGACUCCUACGGGAGGCAGCAGUGGGGAAUAUUGCACAAUGGGCGCAAGCCUGAUGCAGCCAUGCCGCGUGUGUGAAGAAGGCCCUAGGGUUGUAAAGCACCUUCAGCAGUGAGGAAAGGUUAGUAGUUAAUACCUGCUAGCUGUGACGUUAACUGCAGAAGAAGCACCGGCUAACUCCGUGCCAGCAGCCGCGGUAAUACGGAGGGUGCGAGCGUUAAUCGGAAUUACUGGGCGUAAAGCGCGCGUAGGUGGAUUGGUCAGUCAGAUGUGAAAGCCCAGGGCUCAACCUUGGAACUGCACCUGAUACUGCCAAUCUAGAAUACGGUAGAGGGUAGUGGAAUUUCCUGUGUAGCGGUG